This 105-nucleotide small nucleolar RNA is filed under the name Chinchilla lanigera (long-tailed chinchilla). The record is from RNAcentral. Lineage: Eukaryota; Metazoa; Chordata; Mammalia; Rodentia; Chinchillidae.
GUUGAAGUCCAUCCCCAGAAACGCGUCACAGAGUAACGUGGUUUUGCUUUCCUCACAAGACUACUACUACUGGUUAGGUCUUUGUGAAGGAACUGCAAGACAAGU